AUGGAGCCUAACAUAGGGCAAGCCCUGGCCGCUGUCCUCACGCUGCUGGUGACCACGAGAGCACUGUGGUAUCUGCUCUGGAGGCCGUAUGCCAUAGCCAGGUGGUUCGGGCGGCAGGGCAUUAGAGGUCCGCCUUACAAAUUCCUGGUUGGGUCCCUGCCGGAGUGCCAAAGGAUGGUUGUUGCCGGGAGAGCCAAGGAUCUGGACACCAGCUCCCACGACUGCGUCACUACGGUGCAACCCUUCUUCCGUAAAUGGGCCUCCCUGUAUGGAAAAACAUUCCUGUACUGGCUGGGACCGACACCAGCACUGUGUUGUACAGACAUGGAGCUGGUGAAGAAAGUGUUAACCGACAGGACAGACAUGUUCCAAAAGGACUAUUUGAACCCAAGCUUGGAUCCAGUUCUGGGGAACGGGGUCGUGUUCGCAAACGGAGACGACUGGAAGCGGCGCCGCAAAUUCAUCCACCCUGCUUUCAACCAAGGGAUGAUCAAGGCCAUGUCAGAAAUAACGUUGGAGUGCACACAGCGGACAAUGGAACGGUGGCGCGCAAAAAUUCAAGAGAGCAGCAGGCAGCAGACCGAGAUAGACAUGAGUCACGACUCUGACGAAAUAGCCAUGAGUGUCAUUGCACGAAUGAUGUUGGGCAAGAACUACAAGGAGGCCUGGGAGGUGCUGGUCGCCGGUAAAGAGCAGUUGAAGCUUGCCACAUAUGCUUUUGCGGAUCCUCCGGUAACUGGAUUCAAGUACCUGCCGACACCUCGCAACCGUCGGACGUGGCAACUUGACAAGCUUGUGAGAAGCAAGAUCUCACGGAUCAUAGAGGCACGACUUGGUAGCAGCAUCUACGAAGACGACCUGCUGGGGCAGAUGCUGCAGCUGCAGGCAUGUAGCAAGACCCAGACUCUGAGCACCGAGGAAAUGGUCGGCGAGUGCAGGACCUUCUUCGCGGCUGGGUACGAUACCAGCGCCAGCCUCAUUACCUGGGCGAUGUUCCUGCUGGCCAGCUACCCACAGUGGCAGGAGAUGGUCAGGGAGGAGGUCGUCCGGGAAUAUCCUGCUCACCACCUGCCCUUAGUUGAUUCCCCUGGCAAACUGAAGCUGCUUAACAUGUUGCUCUUGGAGACACUGAGGCUCUAUGGCCCCAUAGCUUUCCUACAGAGGAAGACUUCCUCAGACACCACCCUCGCGCACAUGAAGGUGCCGAAAGGAACUAUGAUAACAAUACCGUUGGUGAUGUUGCACCGGGACAAAGAUGUCUGGGGGCCUGACGCUGACAUGUUUAACCCCAUGAGGUUCCAGAAUGGCUUCUUGAAGGCCGCCAAGCAUUCGCACGCGCUGUUGGCCUUCUCAUGCGGUCCUAGGGUCUGUGCUGGGCAGAAUUUCGCCAUGGUUGAGGUGCAGAUCGUGAUAGCCACCAUCCUGAAGAGUUUCACCUUCUCCCUGUCCCCUACUUAUGUGCACAAGCCCAGCAAUUUCAUCACUCUGACGCCCAGGUACGGGCUCCCUCUCAUCGUGAGGAAACUGCAGCAGGCUGUGUGA
Molecule: ribosomal RNA, 1542 nt
Filed under: Triticum aestivum (bread wheat)
Lineage: Eukaryota; Viridiplantae; Streptophyta; Magnoliopsida; Poales; Poaceae
Description: partial small subunit ribosomal RNA
Source: RNAcentral